RNAcentral lists this ribosomal RNA (851 nucleotides) under uncultured bacterium. Its description in RNAcentral is "bacterial SSU rRNA". It matches the Rfam family "Bacterial small subunit ribosomal RNA", at positions 28 to 860 of the family's 1533-position model. The record is from RNAcentral.
AAUCAACGCUGGCGGCGUGCCUAACACAUGCAAGUCGAACGCGGUUAUCCAGCAAUGGAUGACUGAGUGGCGAACGGGUGAGUAACACGUGGGUGACCUACCUUCGAGUGGGGGAUAACGUCCCGAAAGGGACGCUAAUACCGCAUAACAUCCUGCCUUUGAACAGGCGGUGAUCAAAGCCGGGGACCGUAAGGCCCGGCGCUUGAUGAGGGGCUCGCGUCUGAUUAGCUAGUUGGUGAGGUAACGGCCCACCAAGGCGACGAUCAGUAUCCGGCCUGAGAGGGCGGACGGACACACUGGGACUGAGACACGGCCCAGACUCCUACGGGAGGCAGCAGUGGGGAAUUGUUCACAAUGGGCGCAAGCCUGAUGACGCAACGCCGCGUGGAGGAUGAAGGUCUUCGGAUUGUAAACUCCUGUUGCCCGGGACGAAAAGCUCUGACCUAACACGUCGGAGUCUGACGGUACCGGGUGAGGAAGCCCCGGCUAACUCUGUGCCAGCAGCCGCGGUAAUACAGAGGGGGCAAGCGUUGUUCAGAAUUACUGGGCGUAAAGGGCUCGUAGGCGGCCAACUAAGUCAUACGUGAAAUCCCUCAGCUUAACUGGGGAACUGCGUGUGAUACUGGAUGGCUUGGAUUUGGGAGAGGGAUGCGGAAUUCCAGGUGUAGCGGUGAAAUGCGUAGAUAUCUGGAGGAACACCGGUGGCGAAGGCGGCAUCCUGGACCAAUAUUGACGCUGAGGAGCGAAAGCCAGGGGAGCAAACGGGAUUAGAUACCCCGGUAGUCCUGGCCCUAAACGAUGAAUGCUUGGUGUAGCGGGUAUCGAUCCCUGCUGUGCCGAAGCUAACGCAU